Non-coding RNA from Camellia sinensis, 561 nucleotides. The record is from RefSeq and is a predicted model, not a curated record. NCBI's taxonomy places the organism in Eukaryota, Viridiplantae, Streptophyta, Magnoliopsida, Ericales, Theaceae.
UAUGCACUUUAGGAACCUGCACAUUGAUAAUGAAUAUUCUGCUUGGAGGAUUUAUAGUUGCCCAAAAUGACAUUGAGCCAUUUAUGAUAUGGGGCUAUUAUAUUUCUCCAGUGAUGUAUGGACAAAAUGCUUUAGUCAUUAAUGAAUUUCUUGACAAAAGAUGGAGCGCCCCCAAUCCAGACCCCCGAAUUCAUGCACCUACAGGUGGGAAAGUCCUUCUCAAGUCUAGAGGCUUCUUCGCGGAUGACUACAUGUUUUAGGUUUGUGUUGGAGCACUCUUGGGGUUUUCUCUUCUCUUCAACAUUUUAUUUAUUGCAGCAUUGACUUUUUUGAACCCUCUUAGUGAUUCAAAAUCUAUAGUCUUGGAUGAAGAUGUUGGAAAGAAGAAUAAGAAAUCAUCUGGACGAAUGACCUCUGAAGGUUUUGAUAUGACGGUGAGAAAUGCUUCACGGGGUGCUGACUCUAGUGUUGGUGUUACUGAUCAUGCACCUAGAAAAGGAAUGUUUUUUCCCUUCCAACCCCUUUCACUUGCAUUCAAUCAUAUCAACUACUAUGUGGAUA